AACGAACGCUGGCGGCAGGCCUAACACAUGCAAGUCGAACGCAUCGCAAGAUGAGUGGCGCACGGGUGAGUAACACGUGGGAAUGUACCCUUUGGUUCGGAAUAACGUUUGGAAACGAACGCUAAUACCGGAUGAGCCCUACGGGGGAAAGAUUUAUCGCCAAAGGAGCAGCCCGCGUCUGAUUAGCUAGUUGGUGAGGUAAUGGCUCACCAAGGCAACGACGGGUAGCCGGCCUGAGAGGGCGACCGGC
RNAcentral lists this ribosomal RNA (250 nucleotides) under uncultured bacterium. Its description in RNAcentral is "partial 16S ribosomal RNA". It matches the Rfam family "Bacterial small subunit ribosomal RNA", at positions 29 to 308 of the family's 1533-position model. The record is from RNAcentral.